This 67-nucleotide microRNA precursor is filed under the name Bombyx mori (domestic silkworm). RNAcentral's name for it is "mir-2774 microRNA precursor family". It matches the Rfam family "mir-2774 microRNA precursor family". The record is from Rfam by way of RNAcentral. Lineage: Eukaryota; Metazoa; Arthropoda; Insecta; Lepidoptera; Bombycidae.
ACAACAUUUAGACCGUCUGUCUACCGAACAAUUUCACUCACUCGGUGGAAGAUCUUCUCUUUGUCGU